GACGAACGCUGGCGGCGUGCUUAACACAUGCAAGUCGAACGGUGAAGCGCCUUCCUUUUUGGUGGGUGUGGAUGAGUGGCGAAUGGGUGAGUAACACGUGAGUAACCUGCCCCCUUCUUCUGGAUAACCGCAUGAAAGUGUGGCUAAUACGGGAUAUUCUGGGUCUGUCGCAUGAUGGGUCUGGGAAAGAUAUUGUUUCGGUGGGGGAUGGGCUCGCGGCCUAUCAGCUUGUUGGUGGGGUGAUGGCCUACCAAGGCGGUGACGGGUAGCCGGCCUGAGAGGGUGGACGGUCACACUGGGAAGGAGACACGGCCCAGACUCCUACGGGAGGCAGCAGUGGGGAAUAUUGCACAAUGGGCGCAAGCCUGAUGCAGCGACGCCGCGGGAGGGAUGGAGGCCUGCGGGUUGUGAACCUCUUUCGCCAGUGAAGCAGGCCUGCCUCGUUUGUGGGUGGGUUGACGGUAGCUGGAUAAGAAGCGCCGGCUAACUACGUG
This 494-nucleotide ribosomal RNA is filed under the name uncultured bacterium. RNAcentral's name for it is "partial 16S ribosomal RNA". It matches the Rfam family "Bacterial small subunit ribosomal RNA", at positions 28 to 507 of the family's 1533-position model. The record is from RNAcentral.